CCUACGGGAGGCAGCAGUGAGGAAUAUUGGUCAAUGGACGAGAGUCUGAACCAGCCAAGUAGCGUGAAGGAUGACUGCCCUAUGGGUUGUAAACUUCUUUUAUAUGGGAAUAAAAUGUUCCACGUGUGGGAUUUUGUAUGUACCAUAUGAAUAAGGAUCGGCUAACUCCGUGCCAGCAGCCGCGGUAAUACGGAGGAUCCGAGCGUUAUCCGGAUUUAUUGGGUUUAAAGGGAGCGUAGGUGGAUUGGUAAGUCAGUGGUGAAAGUUUGCGGCUCAACCGUAAAAUUGCAGUUGAAACUGGCAGUCUUGAGUACAGUAGAGGUGGGCGGAAUUCGUGGUGUAGCGGUGAAAUGCUUAGAUAUCACGAAGAACUCCGAUUGCGAAGGCAGCUCACUGGACUGCAACUGACACUGAGGCUCGAAAGUGUGGGGAUCAAACAGGAUUAGAUACCCCUGUAGUC
This 460-nucleotide ribosomal RNA is filed under the name uncultured bacterium. Its description in RNAcentral is "partial 16S ribosomal RNA". It matches the Rfam family "Bacterial small subunit ribosomal RNA", at positions 338 to 795 of the family's 1533-position model. The record is from RNAcentral.